CUCAGGUCAGAGAACACGAGGCUUGCCACCAUCUUUGAAGUGGCCUGCUGCCAUUUUGGAAGCGCCUGUCACCAUCUUAGGAGCUCUGGAAGCAAGGACCCCGUUGGUUGAAUCCAAAGAUGGGGAGCCUGUGGAUACUGAAGGCCAACUGUACUACAGGGUUAGAAGCAUAAGUCAGUGGAAGACAGAAGAGGCCAAUCUGCUUCUCCAUCAAUCCAUUAGUCAAUGACAAAACUGCAACAAUACUGAGCUGAGAAAAG
Long non-coding RNA from Symphalangus syndactylus (siamang), 260 nucleotides. RefSeq lists it as uncharacterized. NCBI's taxonomy places the organism in Eukaryota, Metazoa, Chordata, Mammalia, Primates, Hylobatidae. The record is from RefSeq and is a predicted model, not a curated record.